RNAcentral lists this ribosomal RNA (482 nucleotides) under uncultured bacterium. RNAcentral describes it as "partial 16S ribosomal RNA". It matches the Rfam family "Bacterial small subunit ribosomal RNA", at positions 30 to 507 of the family's 1533-position model. The record is from RNAcentral.
AUUGAACGCUGGCGGCAUGCUUUACACAUGCAAGUCGAACGGUAACAGCACUUCGGUGGCUGACGAGUGGCGCACGGGUGAGUAAUACAUCGGAACGUGCCUAGUAGUUGGGGAUAACUACUCGAAAGAGUAGCUAAUACCGCAUGAGAUCUAAGGAUGAACGCAGGGGACCUUCGGGCCUUGCGCUACUAGAGCGGCUGAUGGCGGAUUAGGUAGUUGGUGGGAUAAAAGCUUACCAAGCCGACGAUCUGUAGCUGGUCUGAGAGGAGGAACAGCCACACGGGGACGGAGACGCGGCCCAGACUCCUGCGGGAGGCAGCAGUGGGGAAUGGUGGACAAUGGGCGCAAGCCUGAUCCAGCAAGGCCGCGUGCAGGAUGAAGGCCUUCGGGUUGGAAACUGCUUUUGUACGGAACGAAAAGCCCUCUUCUAAUACAGGAGGGUCAUGACGGUACCGGAAGAAUAAGCACCGGCUAACUACGUG